Molecule: ribosomal RNA, 699 nt
Filed under: uncultured bacterium
Lineage: Bacteria
Description: bacterial SSU rRNA
Rfam family: Bacterial small subunit ribosomal RNA
Source: RNAcentral
AGGAGUUUGAUCCUGGCUCAGAACGAACGCUGGCGGCGUGCUUAAGACAUGCAAGUCGAACGGUAAGGCCCCCUUCGGGGGGUACACGAGUGGCGCACGGGUGAGUAACGCGUGGGCAAUCUACCCUCGGGUCUGGGACAACUCCGGGAAACUGGAGCUAAUACCGGAUAAGACCACGAGGUCUUCGGACUUCGCGGAAAAAGGUGGCCUCUUCUUGAAAGCUACCGCCCGUCGAUGAGCCCGCGUCCCAUUAGCUUGUUGGUGAGGUAACGGCUCACCAAGGCCGCGAUGGGUAGCUGGCCUGAGAGGAUGAUCAGCCACACUGGAACUGAGACACGGUCCAGACUCCUACGGGAGGCAGCAGUCGGGAAUUUUGGGCAAUGGGGGCAACCCUGACCCAGCAACGCCGCGUGAGGGAUGAAGGCCUUCGGGUCGUAAACCUCUGUCGGGAGGGAAGAAAGGCUUCCGUGAAAAUAUUGCGGGAACUUGACGGUACCUUCAAAGGAAGCGCCGGCUAACUCCGUGCCAGCAGCCGCGGUAAUACGGAGGGCGCAAGCGUUGUUCGGAAUCAUUGGGCGUAAAGAGCGUGUAGGCGGCUUGGUAAGUCGGGUGUGAAAGCCCGGGGCUCAACCCCGGAAUUGCACUCGAAACUGCUUCGCUAGAGUCCCGGAGAGGAAGGCGGAAUUCUCGGUGUAGAGG